Molecule: ribosomal RNA, 728 nt
Filed under: uncultured Bacilli bacterium
Lineage: Bacteria; Bacillati; Bacillota; Bacilli
Description: bacterial SSU rRNA
Rfam family: Bacterial small subunit ribosomal RNA
Source: RNAcentral
CGCUGAAGGGAGAGCUUGCUCUUCUGGAUGAGUUGCGAACGGGUGAGUAACGCGUAGGUAACCUGCCUGGUAGCGGGGGAUAACUAUUGGAAACGAUAGCUAAUACCGCAUAAGAGUAGAUGUUGCAUGACAUUUGCUUAAAAGGUGCAAUUGCAUCACUACCAGAUGGACCUGCGUUGUAUUAGCUAGUUGGUGGGGUAACGGCUCACCAAGGCGACGAUACAUAGCCGACCUGAGAGGGUGAUCGGCCACACUGGGACUGAGACACGGCCCAGACUCCUACGGGAGGCAGCAGUAGGGAAUCUUCGGCAAUGGACGGAAGUCUGACCGAGCAACGCCGCGUGAGUGAAGAAGGUUUUCGGAUCGUAAAGCUCUGUUGUAAGAGAAGAACGAGUGUGAGAGUGGAAAGUUCACACUGUGACGGUAUCUUACCAGAAAGGGACGGCUAACUACGUGCCAGCAGCCGCGGUAAUACGUAGGUCCCGAGCGUUGUCCGGAUUUAUUGGGCGUAAAGCGAGCGCAGGCGGUUAGAUAAGUCUGAAGUUAAAGGCUGUGGCUUAACCAUAGUACGCUUUGGAAACUGUUUAACUUGAGUGCAAGAGGGGAGAGUGGAAUUCCAUGUGUAGCGGUGAAAUGCGUAGAUAUAUGGAGGAACACCGGUGGCGAAAGCGGCUCUCUGGCUUGUAACUGACGCUGAGGCUCGAAAGCGUGGGGAGCAAACAGGAUUA